AAUGGAGCCCUAUUAUUGUUAGGGGUCGUUUGGUACACCGGAUGGGAUAAGGAUAUCCCAUGGGGCUAUAAGGGUAUCCCAUGGGACUAUUUUAUCCCUCCCUCCCCGUGGGACAAUAUAGUCUCCGGAUUAAGUAAUACCUUAUAUCAAACUUGCGAUAAAGUUAAUCCCAAACUUUAUCCCGAGAUUAUUUUUCUGAUCCCUUCUACCUAGCGACCCCUUUGUGUUAUCAUUAUCAUUAAUUGUUGUAUGCUUAAUAUAUAGAGGUUUGAUUUAUUUUUAUGAAGAUGCCUUAUAUUUGUCAAUUUUCUCGUUGUCAUAAUUCUGUGGUUGCUUAUGUUUCCCCCUUUCCUUUGUUCUUUUUCCUGAUGUGUAAUAAGUAGCUUCAUCUUGGUUCUUGUGCCAUGGAAGAGUAAUUACUUACCCGAUCGAAAUAGGAAGAAUUUACUUGUUAGUUAAUCAUUUGAGAGUGAUAAAGCGUACUCUUGUGGUUUUGGUCUUAAAUAAAAAGAAAUAUGAAUUAUUAUAUAGAGAAAAGAAUGAUAUUUAGCAUAGGUGCAGAUUAUGUUAAAUAAUAUCAUUAUGACCUGAUUUUUUGAAGCAAUAUAGACACCUAAAUACCAUUUGUAGGAAGUUCUCGUGAUCUUGUUGUGGAACUUUGAUUUCCAUCUUUUCAGUCGCUGGAAGUGUGGAACUUCAGUUUGCAUCUUUUCUCAGUUUGUCAAGUAGUGAUCAAUAUGUCAUUAUGUAGUAUAUAUUGUUCAAGUUCUUGCCAAAAGACUCUUUCAUGCUAAAGUUAAGUUUUCUGGAUAUGUGGACUGUUUCUUCUUCGGUUGCAAUAGGCUAUGUGGAUGAUCUUAGUGUUAAUUGGUUUCUUUGUUAUGGCAGAAUCGUCUGUGUUAGGGGAUGCUAAGGCUUCGGCUAUCAAGGCAGCUCUGGUAAAGGAAGAGAGAGGUAAAUAUGAAAUGAGGCAAUCUCUGAAAGAUGAAAAGGUUGAAGCAAGUAUAUCGAAGGAAAAUACUUCAAAACCUUUAGCACUGGAUUCGUUCGGUUGAACGGUAUUCUCUUCACCCGCACUAUGUAUGUAUGUAUGUAUGUAUGUUCCUGUCUGAGAUGCUAUUGAUGAACUGAGUAAUGACACUAACUUGUUAUCAGCUUGGAUGGAGACUUGCUGUUGAUUUGUUAAGAAUGAUCUCUCUCUUGUGGGUCUGAUGAGAUGUAUAGUUUUGGUUCAGAUGCUGCCUGCCGACUCCAGACUGUUUGGCAACUAUUUAAUUAUAAUAUUCACCAUCCAUAAUGCAUGUGAUUAGGGAAAGUGAUAGUCAGUCGUAUGCUGGCUGAGAUUGAUUCUACAGAGAUCAGUUCUUCUACAGAAAAUACAUUUGUGAGAGAUGUAUCCAAUUAAAUGAAGAUGAUGAAGGUGAGAGUGGAUGAAUCGGCUUGCAUUGCCACAAGAUUUUUUGAAUUGUGAAGAUUUUGAACUUGGAGGAAUUGUUCUUCUAGCACAGCUUAUCCUCCAAUUCCUUGAAUUUAGGCCACCCCAAAAAGUGUUGCCUAAAAUGUCCUAGUGUACACUCCCUAGGAGUAGGUGGGCUUAUUGGAGGAGGUAGGUUUGCACUCAUAAAUUCAUGAUUCCUUAUGAAGAAAAAUUGGACCACACUUAAGGCUGAUGCAGAACAAGACUUUUGAAAUUGGGCUUUAUGUCUGUCAUCAAACAUUACCAAAUAUCAGUAAGAGUUAACAUUCCAGACAGAGACAAGUAGGACCACACUGAGCACUGUCAUUCUCUCACUUGGUAAAAAGAAAUUUAUCUAUACAAUUGACAAAUUCAAUUUGCCUAUGUGCUUUUGAAUUUCUUUUUCUAAUUGUAUUUGGUCUUUAACAGAAAUAAGUCAAUAAUGCUAAUUGUUUUUUUUUUUUUCCGCUUGUUUUAUUCAAGCUUUAUGUUUCUAAGGCCUUACUAUCCCA
This 1968-nucleotide long non-coding RNA is filed under the name Capsicum annuum. Its description in RNAcentral is "long non-coding RNA (CANN_LNC003500)". The record is from RNAcentral. Lineage: Eukaryota; Viridiplantae; Streptophyta; Magnoliopsida; Solanales; Solanaceae.